AGGCUGUUGGAAGUUCCAUCAUCUUGUAGCUGCUCCCAGUGGCAAAGAGCAACCAAAGAACUACAUUGAUGUACAAAGGGGACUCCUGCAUUUUCCCUGUUCCCUGAAGAGAUUAAGAACUUCUGAGUGGAGACAAACGGGAAAAAAUAUUGUUUGUGGAACCUUGCCUAGGCUUGAUGAGAAGGAGGAAAGAGCUCUUACAGCUAAAACUAAUCAGUAACUGUGGUUUCUCCAAACAUGGAAGAAUUUUCCAUCAACAGUCACAAUGGGGAGUGUCUAGUUGGACCAUCAUGGAAGAUGGAUGGGCCUCAAGAAGGUUAGCAGGAUUAAAUGAAGCAAAAAGGAUGGAGCCCUAAUUCAAUAGGAAUGAUGUGAUUAUAAGAAGAGAAAGAGACACCAAAGCACAGAGGCAAGAUGGUGUGAGGACACAAUGGGAAGGUGGCAUCUGCAACUAAGGAGAGAAGCUUCUGGAUAAACCAAAUUUGCUGACCUCUUAACCUUGGACAUCCAGUCUCUAGAACAGUGAAAAAAUUAAUUUCUGUGGUUUAAACUACAUAGUCUUUGCAACUUUGUUAUGGCAGCCCUGGCAGACUAUCAGAAAUGCAUUAAGAUGUUCACAAAAAGAAAUGUACAAAAUGUUCUUAGCAACAUUCUUGUAUUUGGUUAUUCUGAGAAUAACCAAAGCCUAAAAACAGUCCAGAUGUCCAUCAAGUGUAAUUUGUAUAAAUUAUGUUUAUUUAUUCCAAACAAUGUAAUUUGGCAAUGAAAACUAACAGAUUACAGCUAGACACAGCAACAGGAAUAAAUCACAAACAUAAUGUUGAGCCAAAGAACUAAGUACAGAUGAGUACGUCUUGAAUGAUUCUAUUCAUAUAAAGUUAUGAUGAAUCAGUCAAAAUGAAUCUGCUGUGUUAGAAAUCAGGAAUCAGGAGACUGGUUACCCUUGGGGGUCAGUAACAAAAAGGGAGUGAAAAGGGGCUUUCUGAGAUGUUGCUAAUAUCCUGAUCCUCAAUUUCAGUGAAUGCUGGUUACAUGCAUAUGUGUCUUUUGUGAAAAGCCACAGCACCAUCACUUAUGCAGCUUUUUGUGUGUAUAUUAUACUUCAAUAACAACAAGCAAGUGAUAGAUCUGGGACUCAAACCCAGGCUUUGAGGCUCCAAAUCUCUUGUCCUCUCAUUAUAUUGUUUAAAUGGUUUUAUAUUCCAAUUAUAUCAGAUAGUUUUA
Molecule: long non-coding RNA, 1224 nt
Filed under: Homo sapiens (human)
Lineage: Eukaryota; Metazoa; Chordata; Mammalia; Primates; Hominidae
Description: HSALNT0374197
Source: RNAcentral